This 97-nucleotide ribosomal RNA is filed under the name Trichomonas gallinae. RNAcentral describes it as "partial 18S ribosomal RNA". It matches the Rfam family "Eukaryotic small subunit ribosomal RNA", at positions 1744 to 1831 of the family's 1831-position model. Lineage: Eukaryota; Parabasalia; Trichomonadida; Trichomonadidae. The record is from RNAcentral.
ACGAGCAGAAAGUGAUUAAAUCACGUUAUCUAGAGGAAGGAGAAGUCGUAACAAGGUAACGGUAGGUGAACCUGCCGUUGGAUCAGUUCUAGUUAUA